RNAcentral lists this ribosomal RNA (497 nucleotides) under uncultured bacterium. RNAcentral's name for it is "partial 16S ribosomal RNA". It matches the Rfam family "Bacterial small subunit ribosomal RNA", at positions 28 to 507 of the family's 1533-position model. The record is from RNAcentral.
GAUGAACGCUGGCGGCGUGCUUAAUACAUGCAAGUCGAGCGAACGGACGAGAAUCUUGCUUCUCUGAUGUUAGCGGCGGACGGGUGAGUAACACGUGGAUAACCUACCUAUAAGACUGGGAUAACUUCGGGAAACCGUAGCUAAUACCGGAUAAUAUUUUGAACCGCAUGGUGCAAAAGUGAAAGACGGUCUUGCUGUCACGUAUAGAUGGAUCCGCGCUUCAUUAGCUAGUUGGUAAGGUAACGGCUUACCAAGGCAACGAUGCAUAGCCGACCUGAGGGGGUGGUCGGCCACACUGGAACUGAGACACGGUCCAGGGUCCUACGGGAGGCAGCAGUAGGGAAUCUUCCGCAAUGGGCGGGAGCCUGACAGAGCAACGCCGCGUGAGUGAUGAAGGUCUUCGGAUCGUAAAGCUCUGUUAUUAGGGAAGAACAUAUGUGUAAGUAACUGAGCACAUCUUGACGGUACCUAAUCAGAAAGCCACGGCUAACUACGUG